This 522-nucleotide ribosomal RNA is filed under the name Triticum aestivum (bread wheat). RNAcentral's name for it is "partial small subunit ribosomal RNA". The record is from RNAcentral. Lineage: Eukaryota; Viridiplantae; Streptophyta; Magnoliopsida; Poales; Poaceae.
AUGGCAGCUCCAAGAGCUCUCGUCCUCGGCCUCCUGCUGGUGGUCACUGUCGCCAACGUCGGGGCCGCGUCCGUGGUGGUCGGCCUGGCCAAGUGCGCCGGCUGCACCAGGAAGGACAUGAAGGCCGAGGAAACGUUCAAGCGUCUCCGGGUGGCGAUCAAGUGCAGGAACGCCCACGGCGAGUACGAGAGCAAGGCGGUGGGCGGCCUCGACCGCACCGGCGCCUUCAGCGUGCCCCUGGCCGCCGACCUCCAAGGCGCCGACUGCGUCGCGCAGCUCCACAGCGCCGCCUCCAACGCGCCGUGCCCCGGCCAGGAGCCGUCCAAGAUCGUGCCGCUGUCCGAGGGCGCCACCACCUUCGGCGUCGUCGCCGGCGCCAAGACCACCGCCACGCAGUCGGUGGCGUCCCCGGAGUGCGCGUCGGCCUUCUGCCCCUCGACCACGCAAAAGAAGCCCCGCGGCGGCGGCCACCACAAGAAGAAGCACAACCCGCACAAGCCUGAGACCAAGGCCCUGCCGUAA